Molecule: ribosomal RNA, 233 nt
Filed under: Acartia omorii
Lineage: Eukaryota; Metazoa; Arthropoda; Copepoda; Calanoida; Acartiidae
Description: partial 28S ribosomal RNA
Rfam family: Eukaryotic large subunit ribosomal RNA
Source: RNAcentral
AAACCAAUAGCAAACAAGUACCGUGAGGGAAACUUGAAAAGAACUUUGAAGAGAGAGUGAACAGUGCGUGAAAUCAUUAGUUAGUAAGCUUUGACAGAAUAUCUGAACAUUCAAGCUUUUUGCUUUUGCAAAUAACUGCUUGUAAAAUCACGGUUAACUACCAGGAAAGCCUGUAGGCUUAACUGUCCGUGAAGUAAGGGAAAACUGUCAAAGUCCCGUCUUGAAACACGGAC